UCCCAGAUAGCUUAGCUGGUAAAGAAUCUUCCUGCAAUGUGGGAGACCUGGGUUCAAUCCCUGGCUUGGGAA
RNAcentral lists this transfer RNA (72 nucleotides) under Ovis aries (sheep). It matches the Rfam family "tRNA". Rfam says of the family: Transfer RNA (tRNA) molecules are approximately 80 nucleotides in length. Their secondary structure includes four short double-helical elements and three loops (D, anti-codon, and T loops). Further hydrogen bonds mediate the characteristic L-shaped molecular structure. tRNAs have two regions of fundamental functional importance: the anti-codon, which is responsible for specific mRNA codon recognition, and the 3' end, to which the tRNAs corresponding amino acid is attached (by aminoacyl-tRNA synthetases). tRNAs cope with the degeneracy of the genetic code in two manners: having more than one tRNA (with a specific anti-codon) for a particular amino acid; and 'wobble' base-pairing, i.e. permitting non-standard base-pairing at the 3rd anti-codon position. The record is from Rfam by way of RNAcentral. Lineage: Eukaryota; Metazoa; Chordata; Mammalia; Artiodactyla; Bovidae.